Molecule: ribosomal RNA, 395 nt
Filed under: uncultured bacterium
Lineage: Bacteria
Description: bacterial SSU rRNA
Rfam family: Bacterial small subunit ribosomal RNA
Source: RNAcentral
GACGAACGCUGGCGGCGUGCUUAACACAUGCAAGUCGAGCGGUAAGGCCCUUUCGGGGUACGACGAGCGGCGAACGGGUAGGAGUAACAACGUGGGUGGACCUCGCCCUCCAGCUCUGGGAGUAAAGCCUCGGGAAACCGGGGUACGUAAUACCGGAUAUGACUCCAUGACGCAUGUUGUGGGGUGGAAAGCCUUGUGCGGCUGAGGAUGGGCCCGCGGCCUAUCAGCUUGUUGGUGGGGUGAUGGCCUACCAAGGCGACGACGGGUAGCCGGCCUGAGAGGGCGACCGGCCACACUGGGACUGAGACACGGCCCAGACUCCUACGGGAGGCAGCAGUGGGGAAUCUUGCGCAAUGGGCGAAAGCCUGACGCAGCGACGCCGCGUGAGGGAUGAC